GCCCACGUGGUGAAAUUGGUAGACACGCCAUCUUGAGGGGGUGGUGUUCGUAAGGACGUGCUGGUUCGAAUCCAGUCGUGGGCACAA
This 87-nucleotide transfer RNA is filed under the name Flagellimonas taeanensis. RNAcentral describes it as "Allomuricauda taeanensis tRNA_Leu_GAG". It matches the Rfam family "tRNA". Rfam says of the family: Transfer RNA (tRNA) molecules are approximately 80 nucleotides in length. Their secondary structure includes four short double-helical elements and three loops (D, anti-codon, and T loops). Further hydrogen bonds mediate the characteristic L-shaped molecular structure. tRNAs have two regions of fundamental functional importance: the anti-codon, which is responsible for specific mRNA codon recognition, and the 3' end, to which the tRNAs corresponding amino acid is attached (by aminoacyl-tRNA synthetases). tRNAs cope with the degeneracy of the genetic code in two manners: having more than one tRNA (with a specific anti-codon) for a particular amino acid; and 'wobble' base-pairing, i.e. permitting non-standard base-pairing at the 3rd anti-codon position. Lineage: Bacteria; Pseudomonadati; Bacteroidota; Flavobacteriia; Flavobacteriales; Flavobacteriaceae. The record is from RNAcentral. RNAcentral also lists the same sequence under 2 other names.